GGCGGACGGGUGAGUAACGCGUGAGGAACCUGCCUUGGAGAGGGGAAUAACACAGAGAAAUUUGUGCUAAUACCGCAUGAUGCAGUUGGGUCGCAUGGCUCUGACUGCCAAAGAUUUAUCGCUCUGAGACGGCCUCGCGUCUGAUUAGCUAGUUGGUAGGGUAACGGCCUACCAAGGCGACGAUCAGUAGCCGGACUGAGAGGUUGACCGGCCACAUUGGGACUGAGACACGGUCCAAACUCCUACGGGAGGCAGCAGUGAGGAAUAUUGGUCAAUGGUCGGCAGACUGAACCAGCCAAGUCGCGUGAGGGAAGACGGCCCUACGGGUUGUAAACCUCUUUUGUCGGAGAGUAAAGUGCGCUACGCGUAGCGUAUUGCAAGUAUCCGAAGAAAAAGCAUCGGCUAACUCCGUGCCAGCAGCCGCGGUAAUACGGAGGAUGCGAGCGUUAUCCGGAUUUAUUGGGUUUAAAGGGUGCGUAGGCGGCACGCCAAGUCAGCGGUGAAAUUUCCGGGCUCAACCCGGACUGUGCCGUUGAAACUGGCGAGCUAGAGUGCACAAGAGGCAGGCGGAAUGCGUGGUGUAGCGGUGAAAUGCAUAGAUAUCACGCAGAACCCCGAUUGCGAAGGCAGCCUGCUAGGGUGCGACAGACGCUGAGGCACGAAAGUGUGGGUAUCAAACAGGAUUAGAUACCCUGGUAGUCCACACAGUAAACGAUGAAUACUCGCUGUUUGCGAUAUACAGCAAGCGGCCAAGCGAAAGCAUUAAGUAUUCCACCUGGGGAGUACGCCGGCAACGGUGAAACUCAAAGGAAUUGACGGGGGCCCGCACAAGCGGAGGAACAUGUGGUUUAAUUCGAUGAUACGCGAGGAACCUUACCCGGGCUUAAAUUGCAACUGACGGAUUUGGAAACAGAUCUUCCUUCGGGCAGUUGUGAAGGUGCUGCAUGGUUGUCGUCAGCUCGUGCCGUGAGGUGUCGGCUUAAGUGCCAUAACGAGCGCAACCCUUAUCUUUAGUUACUAACAGGUCAUGCUGAGGACUCUAGAGAGACUGCCGUCGUAAGAUGUGAGGAAGGUGGGGAUGACGUCAAAUCAGCACGGCCCUUACGUCCGGGGCUACACACGUGUUACAAUGGGGGGUACAGAAGGCAGCUACACAGCGAUGUGAUGCUAAUCCCAAAAGCCUCUCUCAGUUCGGAUUGGAGUCUGCAACCCGACUCCAUGAAGCUGGAUUCGCUAGUAAUCGCGCAUCAGCCACGGCGCGGUGAAUACGUUCCCGGGCCUUGUACACAGCGCCCGUCAAG
RNAcentral lists this ribosomal RNA (1301 nucleotides) under uncultured bacterium. Its description in RNAcentral is "bacterial SSU rRNA". It matches the Rfam family "Bacterial small subunit ribosomal RNA", at positions 97 to 1401 of the family's 1533-position model. The record is from RNAcentral.